RNAcentral lists this transfer RNA (92 nucleotides) under Actinomycetota bacterium. RNAcentral describes it as "Actinobacteria bacterium tRNA-Ser". It matches the Rfam family "tRNA". Rfam says of the family: Transfer RNA (tRNA) molecules are approximately 80 nucleotides in length. Lineage: Bacteria; Bacillati; Actinomycetota. The record is from RNAcentral.
GGAGGGGUGUCCGAGUGGCCUAAGGAGGCGGUCUCGAAAACCGUUGUGGGCGGCAACGUCCACCGUGGGUUCAAAUCCCACCCUCUCCGCCA